UACGAAGGGGGCUAGCGUUGUUCGGAAUUACUGGGCGUAAAGCGCGCGCAGGUGGUUCUUCAAGUCAGGGGUGAAAGCCCAGGGCUCAACCCUGGAAUGGCCUUUGAGACUAGAGGACUUGGGUACGGGAGAGGUGAGUGGAAUUCCGAGUGUAGAGGUGAAAUUCGUAGAUAUUCGGAAGAACACCAGUGGCGAAGGCGGCUCACUGGCCCGUUACCGACACUCAGGCGCGAUAGCGUGGGGAGCAAACAGG
RNAcentral lists this ribosomal RNA (253 nucleotides) under uncultured bacterium. RNAcentral describes it as "partial 16S ribosomal RNA". It matches the Rfam family "Bacterial small subunit ribosomal RNA", at positions 524 to 776 of the family's 1533-position model. The record is from RNAcentral.